Molecule: ribosomal RNA, 382 nt
Filed under: uncultured bacterium
Lineage: Bacteria
Description: bacterial SSU rRNA
Rfam family: Bacterial small subunit ribosomal RNA
Source: RNAcentral
AUUGAACGCUGGCGGCAUGCCUUACACAUGCAAGUCGAACGGCAGCACGGGAGCAAUCCUGGUGGCGAGUGGCGAACGGGUGAGUAAAGUAUCGGAACGUACCUUUCAGUGGGGGAUAACGCAGCGAAAGCUGUGCUAAUACCGCAUACGAUCUAUGGAUGAAAGCGGGGGGUCGCAAGACCUCGCGCGAUUGGAGCGGCCGAUAUCAGAUUAGGUAGUUGGUGGGGUAAAGGCCCACCAAGCCGACGAUCUGUAGCUGGUCUGAGAGGACGACCAGCCACACUGGAACUGAGACACGGUCCAGACUCCUACGGGAGGCAGCAGUGGGGAAUUUUGGACAAUGGGCGCAAGCCUGAUCCAGCAAUGCCGCGUGCAGGAUGAA